Long non-coding RNA from Polistes canadensis, 1198 nucleotides. RefSeq lists it as uncharacterized. The transcript is spliced from 5 exons. Lineage: Eukaryota; Metazoa; Arthropoda; Insecta; Hymenoptera; Vespidae. The record is from RefSeq and is a predicted model, not a curated record.
UAAACACACAACUCGUAAGGAUCCAAUUUGUUUUAUAUUAUAUUAGUGUUAAAAAGUGUAAUUGAUUUUGUUAACCUGUUUUAUACUUGAAUGCACGAACGUUUUUAUUAUUAAAUAAAUUAAUUGAAAGGAUUCGAAGAUUAAUCGUAGCUCCAGUAUCUUUAUCAAGUAUUUAAAUCAUCAGAGCUGAUAUAACUUGAGAUAAGGACAUUGAAUUAAAAUGAUUCAACAGUGCAACGAUGCAACGAUGCAACGAUGGAACAAUUCAUUCAAUACUAAUCAAUUUCACGACAUCAUUCAAUCAACAGCGAGGAGGACAAGUAUUUUAGAACCAUCGUAGAACUUCUCAGGCCAAUUAUUUAUGCUGCAUUUUUAUUCGCAACAGUUAGUAACGAAAUUUCUAGAAGUUUCGAAAAGAGUCUGACGGAUGGACCCGGCGGCAGGCACUUUUCUCAUGAAUGAACGUAGGGGUUGGGGUGGUUCUACACUUAUACACCAACAAGAAGCACCGCCUGAAGUGUGAAACACGGGGGCCCGUACAAAACUCUAACCGGACGGACGUUUUACGAGCUACCAUCUGGAAAAUGCUUCUUCUUCUUCUUCUUCUUCUACUUCUGCUUCUUCGGUGAGUUGUAUUAACCGACAAACUUCCGCGACUAUUACACACGAGACUAUGGGAUAUACAACGAAUGGAAAAAAAGAAAAAGAAAAAAGGGAAGAGGGAAUGAGAGAGGAUCAACUGAACAUGGAAAACAGAAAGGAAACGCUUUGAAAUUCGACUCGAAUUAGGAACUGUACGUCAAGUCACGGCAAUGUUUCUUUUUGAGAUAAACCCAAGACACCCCUUCGCGUUAAUUCCCGUCUUAAGAACGCCCACGCGUUUCUCAAAAAAGAAACAAAAAAAUGAAAAAGUGGUGGGGAGGUGAGAACGCGUGCGAACGAGCGAGCGUUUGAAUAUUUGGUAUAAACUAUAUUAUAUCGUUGAUAAUUUUAUCUAAACGUUUUAAAAGAAAAAUUCUAUGAAGAAAAAAUAUCUAUCGGCACAGGAUAGUUUCGUAGUGUUUGAUCCUUCGAAGGGGGUAGUUACGUUGCUUGACUUUAUAUUAUCCCCGUCUAGACUCAACAGCUCCGAGUGUCACGAACGUGCCCAAGUACCAUCUUACCUUUUUAUAUGAGAUAUAGAAAAAAAAAAAAAAAA